AACGGGUGGUAAUGCCGGAUGCUCCAUCACAUCGCAUGGUGUUCUGGGAAAGCCUUUGCGGCAUGGGAUGGGGUCGCGUCCUAUCAGCUUGAUGGCGGGGUAACGGCCCACCAUGGCUUCGACGGGUAGCCGGCCUGAGAGGGCGACCGGCCACAUUGGGACUGAGAUACGGCCCAGACUCCUACGGGAGGCAGCAGUGGGGAAUAUUGCACAAUGGGCGCAAGCCUGAUGCAGCGACGCCGCGUGAGGGAUGGAGGCCUUCGGGUUGUAAACCUCUUUUGUUAGGGAGCAAGGCAUUUUGUGUUGAGUGUACCUUUCGAAUAAGCACCGGCUAACUACGUGCCAGCAGCCGCGGUAAUACGUAGGGUGCAAGCGUUAUCCGGAAUUAUUGGGCGUAAAGGGCUCGUAGGCGGUUCGUCGCGUCCGGUGUGAAAGUCCAUCGCUUAACGGUGGAUCCGCGCCGGGUACGGGCGGGCUUGAGUGCGGUAGGGGAGACUGGAAUUCCCGGUGUAACGGUGGAAUGUGUAGAUAUCGGAAAAGAACACCA
This 547-nucleotide ribosomal RNA is filed under the name Bifidobacterium breve. RNAcentral describes it as "bacterial SSU rRNA". It matches the Rfam family "Bacterial small subunit ribosomal RNA", at positions 155 to 711 of the family's 1533-position model. The record is from RNAcentral. Lineage: Bacteria; Bacillati; Actinomycetota; Actinomycetes; Bifidobacteriales; Bifidobacteriaceae.